This 497-nucleotide ribosomal RNA is filed under the name uncultured bacterium. RNAcentral describes it as "partial 16S ribosomal RNA". It matches the Rfam family "Bacterial small subunit ribosomal RNA", at positions 28 to 507 of the family's 1533-position model. The record is from RNAcentral.
GAUGAACGCUGGCGGCGUGCCUAAUACAUGCAAGUCGAGCGAACAGAUAAGGAGCUUGCUCCUUUGACGUUAGCGGCGGACGGGUGAGUAACACGUGGGUAACCUACCUAUAAGACUGGGAUAACUUCGGGAAACCGGAGCUAAUACCGGAUAACAUUUGGAACCGCAUGGUUCUAAAGUGAAAGAUGGUUUUGCUAUCACUUAUAGAUGGACCCGCGCCGUAUUAGCUAGUUGGUAAGGUAACGGCUUACCAAGGCGACGAUACGUAGCCGACCUGAGAGGGUGAUCGGCCACACUGGAACUGAGACACGGUCCAGACUCCUACGGGAGGCAGCAGUAGGGAAUCUUCCGCAAUGGGCGAAAGCCUGACGGAGCAACGCCGCGUGAGUGAUGAAGGGUUUCGGCUCGUAAAACUCUGUUAUUAGUGAAGAACAAACGUGUAAGUAACUGUGCACGUCUUGACGGUACCUAAUCAGAAAGCCACGGCUAACUACGUG